GGGGAUUUAGCUCAGUGGUAGAGCACUUGCCUAGCAAGCACAAGGCCCUGGGUUCGGUUCCCAGCUCUG
This is a non-coding RNA of Rattus norvegicus (Norway rat), 69 nucleotides long. NCBI's taxonomy places the organism in Eukaryota, Metazoa, Chordata, Mammalia, Rodentia, Muridae. The record is from Rfam.